This 650-nucleotide ribosomal RNA is filed under the name uncultured bacterium. RNAcentral's name for it is "bacterial SSU rRNA". It matches the Rfam family "Bacterial small subunit ribosomal RNA", at positions 60 to 704 of the family's 1533-position model. The record is from RNAcentral.
AGUCGAGCGGUAACAGAAAGUAGCUUGCUACUUUGCUGACGAGCGGCGGACGGGUGAGUAAUGCUUGGGAACAUGCCUUGAGGUGGGGGACAACAGUUGGAAACGACUGCUAAUACCGCAUAAUGUCUACGGACCAAAGGGGGCUUCGGCUCUCGCCUUUAGAUUGGCCCAAGUGGGAUUAGCUAGUUGGUGAGGUAAUGGCUCACCAAGGCAACGAUCCCUAGCUGGUUUGAGAGGAUGAUCAGCCACACUGGAACUGAGACACGGUCCAGACUCCUACGGGAGGCAGCAGUGGGGAAUAUUGCACAAUGGGCGAAAGCCUGAUGCAGCCAUGCCGCGUGUGUGAAGAAGGCCUUCGGGUUGUAAAGCACUUUCAGUCAGGAGGAAAGGGUGUGAGUUAAUACCUCAUAUCUGUGACGUUACUGACAGAAGAAGCACCGGCUAACUCCGUGCCAGCAGCCGCGGUAAUACGGAGGGUGCGAGCGUUAAUCGGAAUUACUGGGCGUAAAGCGUACGCAGGCGGUUUGUUAAGCGAGAUGUGAAAGCCCCGGGCUCAACCUGGGAACUGCAUUUCGAACUGGCAAACUAGAGUGUGAUAGAGGGUGGUAGAAUUUUCAGGUGUAGCGGUGAAAUGCGUAAAGAUCUGAAGG